Molecule: ribosomal RNA, 253 nt
Filed under: uncultured bacterium
Lineage: Bacteria
Description: partial 16S ribosomal RNA
Rfam family: Bacterial small subunit ribosomal RNA
Source: RNAcentral
UACGAAGGGGGCUAGCGUUGCUCGGAAUCACUGGGCGUAAAGCGCACGUAGGCGGAUCUUUAAGUCAGGGGUGAAAUCCCAAGGCUCAACCUUGGAACUGCCUUUGAUACUGGGGAUCUCGAGUCCGGAAGAGGUUGGUGGAACUGCGAGUGUAGAGGUGAAAUUCGUAGAUAUUCGGAAGAACACCAGUGGCGAAGGCGACUCACUGGACACGUAUUGACGCUGAGGUGCGAAAGCGUGGGGAGCAAACAGG